CGGGGUAUAGCGCAGCCUGGUAGCGCACCUGCUUUGGGAGCAGGGGGUCGUGGGUUCGAAUCCCCCUACCCCGACCA
This 77-nucleotide transfer RNA is filed under the name Candidatus Competibacteraceae bacterium. Its description in RNAcentral is "tRNA-Pro". It matches the Rfam family "tRNA". Rfam says of the family: Transfer RNA (tRNA) molecules are approximately 80 nucleotides in length. Their secondary structure includes four short double-helical elements and three loops (D, anti-codon, and T loops). Lineage: Bacteria; Pseudomonadati; Pseudomonadota; Gammaproteobacteria; Candidatus Competibacteraceae. RNAcentral also lists the same sequence under 1 other name. The record is from RNAcentral.